RNAcentral lists this ribosomal RNA (626 nucleotides) under uncultured earthworm cast bacterium. RNAcentral's name for it is "bacterial SSU rRNA". It matches the Rfam family "Bacterial small subunit ribosomal RNA", at positions 34 to 655 of the family's 1533-position model. The record is from RNAcentral.
CGCUGGCGGCAGGCCUAACACAUGCAAGUCGAGCGGUAGAGAGAAGCUUGCUUCUCUUGAGAGCGGCGGACGGGUGAGUAAUGCCUAGGAAUCUGCCUGGUAGUGGGGGAUAACGUUCGGAAACGGACGCUAAUACCGCAUACGUCCUACGGGAGAAAGCAGGGGACCUUCGGGCCUUGCGCUAUCAGAUGAGCCUAGGUCGGAUUAGCUAGUUGGUGGGGUAAUGGCUCACCAAGGCGACGAUCCGUAACUGGUCUGAGAGGAUGAUCAGUCACACUGGAACUGAGACACGGUCCAGACUCCUACGGGAGGCAGCAGUGGGGAAUAUUGGACAAUGGGCGAAAGCCUGAUCCAGCCAUGCCGCGUGUGUGAAGAAGGUCUUCGGAUUGUAAAGCACUUUAAGUUGGGAGGAAGGGUUGUAGAUUAAUACUCUGCAAUUUUGACGUUACCGACAGAAUAAGCACCGGCUGACUCUGUGCCAGCAGCCGCGGUAAUACAGAGGGUGCAAGCGUUAAUCGGAAUUACUGGGCGUAAAGCGCGCGUAGGUGGUUAGUUAAGUUGGAUGUGAAAUCCCCGGGCUCAACCUGGGAACUGCAUUCAAAACUGACUGACUAGAGUAUGGUAGA